UGUAAGUUAGUGGCGGACGGGUGAGUAACGCGUGGGUAACCUGCCUUGUACUGGGGGACAACAGUUGGAAACGGCUGCUAAUACCGCAUAAGCGCACAGUACCGCAUGGUACGGUGUGAAAAACUCCGGUGGUAUGAGAUGGACCCGCGUCUGAUUAGGUAGUUGGUGGGGUAACGGCCUACCAAGCCGACGAUCAGUAGCCGACCUGAGAGGGUGACCGGCCACAUUGGGACUGAGACACGGCCCAA
Molecule: ribosomal RNA, 248 nt
Filed under: uncultured bacterium
Lineage: Bacteria
Description: partial 16S ribosomal RNA
Rfam family: Bacterial small subunit ribosomal RNA
Source: RNAcentral